Molecule: long non-coding RNA, 2597 nt
Organism: Photinus pyralis (common eastern firefly)
Lineage: Eukaryota; Metazoa; Arthropoda; Insecta; Coleoptera; Lampyridae
Exons: 3
Source: RefSeq, a predicted model, not a curated record
UCCUGGUUGAGCAAUAAGUUUACAAGAUCUCUAACGCAGGUACGAAAUUUACCUUCAGCAUGAAAGCGUAAGGAGAAACUGAGAUGUAUUUCAACAUUGUUUAUUACAAUAGGAAUGUACUUAAUUAAAAUUUGAGCUCUUCUCAAUGCUGUACUUCCCGAAAGCUAACCUCAAAAGAUUAUCGCCGUUCUAUAAGCAACGCCGUGAUUGUAUUUAGCUUGAGUUGAGCUCGAAAAUAUUUGCUGAAAAUGAUUAAAACGGAUUUAUCUCUAGGCAGUGCCCUUUUCUUCAUUUGUGGGAACUUAAUUAGAUAUUGCGGCCUUUUUUAUCCCGUCACGUAAUGCAUCUUUCUUAUACUGGAAUAAUAAUUGCCUGAAAUGGAAGUGGGGUAUUGCUCUAUUUUCCAAAAUCUGUAAUGGAAAUGCCUGGAUUCAUGCAUUUUUUUGCGUGCCUUGCGAUAAUUGAAUAUUUCAUAGAUCCUUCCUGCGUCUUGUGGAUAUUUACUAAGUACGUAAUAAUACGAGCGAAUUGUAUUGUUUUCAUGGCGUUAUUUAGUUAAGGGGUUAAAAUAACCGCAACGCCCUAAUGGAAUGGUGCAAUGGACAUGAACUCAAUUAUGUUUCAUAAUAUGGAAAAUGACAUUUAAAUGUUACAACUUCAUUACCAGGAAUCUGCAUUGCAUUUCAGUUAGGGUAAAUUGUAUCGUUAUUUUAAAUUACAACCGUUACACCCCGUUUUGCUAGAGAAUUAAUUAAUUCUUUCUUUCAAUUUUGCCAUUAAGAUUUAUAUUGCUAUAGCCACCAGAGUACAAAAAAACGAGUUAGAUUGUCAAUAUCAGCGAACAACUGAAAUCAAAUGCACAACCUGACCCAUACAUUAUUGAUAAGGUUCAUGCAGAUAAAUAAUCCAAAUGAAUUAAAGAAUUUUUGGGUUGUGGUCAUCGUCCCUACCUAAACACUGCUAAAAUUUUAGCACCUAUUUUUCCGAUGAUAACAAAAUACACAGUCUUCUAUCCACUACACGUUGGAGCCCAGAUGAAAGUUCAAAGUUUCGUUCUAAAAGGGAAAAACGUUAAAACUUGCAGCUUUAUGUACGAACUAUCUGUGUUAAAUUAUAAAUCUGAUCACACCACCCUGCUUGAUAUUAUAAUCUUUAGCACUAUACAACCUCCAGGUGAAUUUUAAAUACCCAACUUUAUUUUUGCUUUACAAACUUGUACGCUUUAACAGAGGGGAUACUCGUAACCCCUUUCAACUAUAUCCAAACUUUGUUGUAAUGACACAAGCAAUUUGAUUAUAAAGUGAACUAUUGCGUUUCAGAACUAAUUGUCUGGGGUCAAUUUCCCCAUAAACACGACAUUUCGUUACGUUCUUAAAUUGACGAAUGGCUCCUUAGAGCUUUCGACGGCUAAAAACUUUUCCCUUCCAUCUCGAGGGCCGACAUAUGCGUAAUGAAUAAUGUAAUGUGGUUGCGGUCGUGUAUAUUUUAUGGAAUAGUCGGGCUCUAUUCAAACUAGACACUUAUUCAAUUGCGUAGAAUCGGCGACCCGUAAAACUACGUUUUGCAGAAGUACGUGGAAACAUCUGUGCGUGUGCUCUGAAUAAACUUGUUCGACCGGAAAGGUUUUCAAAGCAUUCAAAAGGAAUAUCUGCGGUAAUUUAUAUGUCCGUCCGUCAGUCCAGACUGAAACUAUACUGAAUAUAUUGCUAUGAAACCACGCAUAAGGCUUAUCAGUGCUACGGGCGGCUUCGUCUUUAUUUAAUUUUAAGUUACCCAAUCAUUAGAUAAAUCCAAAAUUAUUGUUUUUAUUUGAAUGGUUAAGACAUUGUAACAUGGUAAAGGUGUUGUAAAAAAUUUUCUUAUCAAUUUAAAUUACUUGCCAAGUUUUAUGUUCGUAUAGGUAUAGUUUGGCAUGUAUGUUGUAUUGUUUAGAAUCUAGAGAAGCAAAUAAUUGAUAAUAUUCUGUUUAUGUGAUAAGGCAGGUGUGUUAUUAGUACGACACAAAACAUUUGCAUUUUUUAACAGAAAAGUGGAAGUGCUACCGGGUAAGUGAAAACGGUUUUGUUAUCUUAAUGUAAUGGCGGAUACAUUUGAACCGAUACCCUGUUGCGCUCGGCUGAUGGUAGAGCAUGAAUUAUACAAGGGCGCCAGGGCUAUGCGCGGAAGGUACUCUCAGGGUCGUGACGUUAACUAGCCCGUUCUGGUAAUUUGACCAUUAAAUUAUGAACAACGUGAGGUUGUCCGACUGAUCGUGUGAGAUGGAGGUGUGACCUGUCGCGGAGAUCUCUUACAGAAUUCGGAUACCUUAUUGACGGUUUACUUCGGAAGACGGUUGAAGACCUUGACGACUGGAGCUGCUGCUGGAGUUGGAAUAGGAUAGAUUUAUUUUGACUGCUACGUUAGAUGUUGAUUUCCUUACGAGUGCCAAUUCUAGGGCAACUCUAAUAUUUCGAUAGAAAUUAUAUAAUUACUUAAAAGAACCCUGAAAUAUUAAAAAUUAGCUCCAAGCAGCUACAGAUUAAUUUAAUGCAUUACCAGGAUGAACUGGGUUCCAAAUAUAUAGUAUAAGAUUAAAUAAUUAAUUUAGGGUAGCCAUG